AGCGCACCCUUGUUCUUAGUUGCCAUCAUUUAAUUGGGGACUCUCUGGAGACUGCGCGUGAUAAACCGGAGGAAAGUGGGGAUAACAUCUCGUCUCCUUGCCCCUUACAUCCUGGGCUACACACGUACUACAAUGGGUGGGACAAAGGGCAGCGAACUCCCAAGAGCCAGCUAAUCUCAUAAACCCCUCCUCAGUUCAGAUUGCUCUCUGCAACUCUAGAGCAUGAAAGAGGAAUCGCUAGUAAUCUCAGGUCACCAUACUGCGGUGAAUAUGUUCCCCGGGCUUGUGAC
This 290-nucleotide ribosomal RNA is filed under the name uncultured cyanobacterium. RNAcentral's name for it is "partial 16S ribosomal RNA". It matches the Rfam family "Bacterial small subunit ribosomal RNA", at positions 1095 to 1384 of the family's 1533-position model. The record is from RNAcentral. Lineage: Bacteria; Bacillati; Cyanobacteriota.